Long non-coding RNA from Zalophus californianus (California sea lion), 632 nucleotides. RefSeq lists it as uncharacterized. Lineage: Eukaryota; Metazoa; Chordata; Mammalia; Carnivora; Otariidae. The record is from RefSeq and is a predicted model, not a curated record. The transcript is spliced from 4 exons.
AGUGGGCAGGACCAGAUGAUGAAGAGCCUUGAGUAUCAACCCAAAGCCAGGGAAUCUGGAGCCCAAGAUCGACGUGGAUUAAUGUGUGGGGAAAAAUAGCAGAUGUUCUUCCCAGAUUUCCUUCAUGGAAUUUGUUCAAAAGAAAUUUCAUUAUGCCUAAUUGAAGUGAAAAGCAAGACCACAGGGACACAAAUGUGGGCUGAUCUCUUUGAAUGAGACACAAGACAGAGUUUGUCUGUCCUUCUGAGGAAACAGGGAGAAGGAGGGGUUAAGUUUGUUGGGGGGUAGCUGAGAGGAGGUGGAUGCCUCUGGCUUCAUGAUGAGAUUGCUGUCCUGCUGCUGGACUCACCAAAUGGUGAGAAAUGCCAAGUUGGGGAAUCAAGAAAGCACUUUAUAUGGAACAGUAAUCACUGGGUUACCUAACACCUUCUCCAGUUCAACGUACAUUACAAGAGUUCUGGAGGUCAGAAUGUCCAGAAUGGGUCUGACUGGCUAAAAUCAAGCUGUAGGUUUUCCCAAGGGAUGAAGAACUGGAAAAAAAAGCUUACAUUAAAAGGUUGUUUCUUUUGGGUGUUAUUGCAAUGUAAAAUUGAACACAUAUAAAAUUCUGUUUCUUUGCAUGGAAAAGCAGA